This 22-nucleotide microRNA is filed under the name Raccoon polyomavirus. Its description in RNAcentral is "racpv-miR-P1-5p". Its record names the gene racpv-miR-P1-5p. Lineage: Floreoviria; Shotokuvirae; Cossaviricota; Papovaviricetes; Sepolyvirales; Polyomaviridae. The record is from miRBase by way of RNAcentral.
UCUGUGGGAAGGCAUAGAGGUA